Long non-coding RNA from Rosa chinensis, 592 nucleotides. RefSeq lists it as uncharacterized. Lineage: Eukaryota; Viridiplantae; Streptophyta; Magnoliopsida; Rosales; Rosaceae. The record is from RefSeq and is a predicted model, not a curated record. The transcript is spliced from 5 exons.
UUGCAGAAGGAAUUUGUGCUGUGUUGAAGUGAUUUCUUUUAUCUAUUUUGAGCACCGGCUUGAAGGGCUGAGCAAGACCGCCAAGGAGAUUCUCUCGGUUGGGUGCACGGUCAAUGGCAAGGAUCCCAAUUUGCAGCAGUAGAUUAUGGGAACAACCGAAAUAGUUCUGCAAAUUUCCAUUGGUGCAAGGAAAUGCCCUUAUUCUAUUCUAACCUGGUGGAUGGUCACUUAACAGUCACAUAGAAUGACAUGUGGAUGAAUUUAGCUCUCUGUUUCCAGAACAUGGAGGGUUUGGGUAUUGCAGAUGAGGUUAAAAAGCACAAGGCCAACGACAAGUUCUGGUUGUCCGUAUCAAAGAAGAGUUGCAGCUGUGGGAUGAAGAGUCUUAGUUAUAUAAAAUACAGUUGGAUGAUGGGUGCAUCUGUAACUUUUUAGUUAGUAUAUUUAUUGUAUGAUACAUUCUGAAAUAUAGUAUAAGGUACAAUACAAGAAUGUAGAGGUGCCAAUUGGCACCUUAUUUUUUUUAAUCCAAUCUCAUAAAUUUGCCACUGAUAUCAGUGGUAUUCCAAAGCCACUAACAUCAGUGUGGGUU